RNAcentral lists this ribosomal RNA (432 nucleotides) under uncultured bacterium. RNAcentral describes it as "partial 16S ribosomal RNA". It matches the Rfam family "Bacterial small subunit ribosomal RNA", at positions 29 to 506 of the family's 1533-position model. The record is from RNAcentral.
AACGAACGCUGGCGGCAGGCCUAACACAUGCAAGUCGAGCGAGGACUUCGGUUCUAGCGGCGGACGGGUGAGUAACGCGUGGGAAUGUGCCCUUCUCUACGGAAUAGCCCUGGGAAACUGGGAGUAAUACCGUAUACGCCCUAUUGGGGAAAGAUUUAUCGGAGAAGGAUCAGCCCGCGUUGGAUUAGGUAGUUGGUGGGGUAAUGGCCUACCAAGCCGACGAUCCAUAGCUGGUUUGAGAGGAUGAUCAGCCACACUGGGACUGAGACACGGCCCAGACUCCUACGGGAGGCAGCAGUGGGGAAUCUUAGACAAUGGGGGCAACCCUGAUCUAGCCAUGCCGCGUGAGUGAUGAAGGCCUUAGGGUUGUAAAGCUCUUUCAGCUGGGAAGAUAAUGACGGUACCAGCAGAAGAAACCCCGGCUAACUCCGU